Molecule: transfer RNA, 62 nt
Filed under: Metacrangonyx remyi
Lineage: Eukaryota; Metazoa; Arthropoda; Malacostraca; Amphipoda; Metacrangonyctidae
Description: transfer RNA Alanine
Source: RNAcentral
AGGUUUUGAGUUGGCUCCAAUUUAUAGUUUGCAAUUAUAAGAAAUAUAUUAUAUAGAACCUA